RNAcentral lists this ribosomal RNA (252 nucleotides) under uncultured bacterium. RNAcentral describes it as "partial 16S ribosomal RNA". It matches the Rfam family "Bacterial small subunit ribosomal RNA", at positions 524 to 776 of the family's 1533-position model. The record is from RNAcentral.
UACGGAGGAUGCGAGCGUUAUCCGGAUUUAUUGGGUUUAAAGGGUGCGUAGGCGGGUUAUCAAGUCAGCGGUAAAAUCGUGGAGCUCAACUCCAUCCAGCCGUUGAAACUGAUGAUCUUGAGUGGGCGAGAAGUAUGCGGAAUGCGUGGUGUAGCGGUGAAAUGCAUAGAUAUCACGCAGAACUCCGAUUGCGAAGGCAGCAUACCGGCGCCCAACUGACGCUGAAGCACGAAAGCGUGGGUAUCGAACAGG